RNAcentral lists this long non-coding RNA (715 nucleotides) under Chinchilla lanigera (long-tailed chinchilla). Its description in RNAcentral is "lncRNA (ENSCLAG00000024736.1)". Lineage: Eukaryota; Metazoa; Chordata; Mammalia; Rodentia; Chinchillidae. The record is from RNAcentral.
GGGACAGCACCGGAUGCUUUGCUGAGAUCUGUCCGAAGGAAUGAUGGCUUGAUGGCCGGGAGUGCCGAAGUACAGCUCCUGGGAUAGGUGGACCACAUUGCCCUCCCUGACCUUGCUCGUGACCCCUCCUGCUUCCCCUGCUCCCGCUUUCCGUGACAGGAUCCUAAUGAAAGGCUAAAGAAAAUUGCAAUCCAGGCUUCAGCCCUGGAAGCUGCAGCCCCCUGAUUCCACAACUUUGUCUCUCUUGUUUUUCUUUUCACCCACUGCACCUUGUUUCCGAGACCUGUCACCCCACAGAAACCAACAGGCGCCCUCUGAGUGUCUCAGGAUGGCGUCUACACACCUGGCCACAGAGGCAGCGCCGCCCUCUUUCCAGCGAAGAAUUCUCCACCCACGGCGCCAGGAGUCCGUUCUGGGCUCAGGAGCCCAGCAAGGGGCUGGACAGGGUCGACCCAAGCAGGGGCCCUGGGGUCGAAAGACAAGAAGGGGAAGUGAGACGAAGAGCAGCCCGUUCCCCCAGAUUCAACUCAGGAAAAACUGGACCUGCUCCCCGAGGAAUUGUUCCUCACCAAGAGGUGAGAGUCUCUGACUAAAAAAUUCCAUGUGUUCAUUGUAAAAGAUUCUACUGCAUUAAUAAGUGGAAAAGCCAGGCAUGAUGGUGCCUGCCUGUAAUCCCUGCACUCUGGGAGGCUGAGGCAGGAGGAUUACAAGUUUG